RNAcentral lists this transfer RNA (73 nucleotides) under Stegodyphus mimosarum. It matches the Rfam family "tRNA". From Rfam's summary of the family: Transfer RNA (tRNA) molecules are approximately 80 nucleotides in length. Their secondary structure includes four short double-helical elements and three loops (D, anti-codon, and T loops). Further hydrogen bonds mediate the characteristic L-shaped molecular structure. tRNAs have two regions of fundamental functional importance: the anti-codon, which is responsible for specific mRNA codon recognition, and the 3' end, to which the tRNAs corresponding amino acid is attached (by aminoacyl-tRNA synthetases). tRNAs cope with the degeneracy of the genetic code in two manners: having more than one tRNA (with a specific anti-codon) for a particular amino acid; and 'wobble' base-pairing, i.e. permitting non-standard base-pairing at the 3rd anti-codon position. Lineage: Eukaryota; Metazoa; Arthropoda; Arachnida; Araneae; Eresidae. The record is from Rfam by way of RNAcentral.
GCCUUCUUGGUGUAGUGGUCAGCACGCUGAGUGCGUACUCCAGAGGCUCGUGGUUCAAGUCCCGGCGAAGGCG